CCCCAGUGAUACCGCUAUUACUGGUGUUGUCACACUUCGAUUAACCGGUGGGAAGAUUUCCUCACCGUCACAACUCUACUUUCAGCUCAUG
Long non-coding RNA from Sinocyclocheilus anshuiensis, 91 nucleotides. RefSeq lists it as uncharacterized. The record is from RefSeq and is a predicted model, not a curated record. Lineage: Eukaryota; Metazoa; Chordata; Actinopteri; Cypriniformes; Cyprinidae. The transcript is spliced from 3 exons.